UACAGAGGGUGCAAGCGUUAAUCGGAGUUACUGGGCGUAAAGGGCGCGUAGGUUGUAUUGUAAGUUAGUUGUGAAAUCCCCGGGCUUAACCUGGGAACUGCGUCUGAUACUGGGAGGCUUGAGUAUGGGAGAGGGAUGUAGAAUUCCAGGUGUAGCGGUGAAAUGCGUAGAUAUCUGGAGGAAUACCGGUGGCGAAGGCGGCAUCCUGGACCAUUACUGACGCUGAGGCGCGAAAGCUAGGGGAGCAAACGGG
This 253-nucleotide ribosomal RNA is filed under the name uncultured bacterium. RNAcentral describes it as "partial 16S ribosomal RNA". It matches the Rfam family "Bacterial small subunit ribosomal RNA", at positions 524 to 776 of the family's 1533-position model. The record is from RNAcentral.